RNAcentral lists this non-coding RNA (21 nucleotides) under Caenorhabditis elegans. Lineage: Eukaryota; Metazoa; Nematoda; Chromadorea; Rhabditida; Rhabditidae. The record is from RNAcentral.
UGUUUGGUCCAAUUUAAUUCC